CGCCUGUUUWUCAAAAACAUUGCUUGAAGAUUAACUAUUUUAAGUAGUUCUGCCCAGUGAGAUUUAAACGGCCGCGGUAUCCUGACCGUGCUAAGGUAGCACAAUAAUGCGCCUCUUAAUUAGAGGAUAGAAUGAAUGAAUGUACAAGUAAUUGUAUCGUCUUGUUCUUAUUAUUAGAAACUUAUCUGCAGGUGAAAACGCCUGUAUAUUUAUUUAGGACAAGAAGACCCUAAAAGCUUUUAUCUAUAAAAUAUGUUUAAUAUUGGAUUGGAGAUUAGUUGGGGCGACAUUAAGAAAUAUACACUUUAUUAUCUAAGGUGAACAAGCCAUCAUGAUUAGCCGAAAGCCGAGGAGUAAGUUACUUUAGGGAUAACAGGUUAAUUUAAAUUAUUAAGACCUUAUUUUUAUUUAAGUUUAACACCUCGAUGUUGGCUUUGGUUUCUCGUUGGUAGCAGCGUGCUAUGCGAGAGGUUUGUUCAACCUUUAUACACCUACGUGAUCUGAGUUCAGACCGG
RNAcentral lists this ribosomal RNA (515 nucleotides) under Haplosyllis sp. 2 MTR-2019. Its description in RNAcentral is "partial large subunit ribosomal RNA". It matches the Rfam family "Archaeal large subunit ribosomal RNA", at positions 1892 to 2690 of the family's 2987-position model. The record is from RNAcentral. Lineage: Eukaryota; Metazoa; Annelida; Polychaeta; Phyllodocida; Syllidae.